CUGGCUCAGGAGAAACGCUGGCGGCGCACAUAAGACAUGCAAGUCGAACGGAAUUAGUCGAAUGUUAACCAUGAGACGAAAUUAGUGCGGACGGGUGAGUAACACGUGAGCAACCUACCUUCAGAGGGGGAUAACAUUGAGAAAUCAGUGCUAAUACCGCAUAACACUAUUGAAAGACAUCUUUUAAUAGUCAAAGGAGAAAUCCACCUAAAGAUGGGCUCGCGGCUGAUUAGCCAGUUGGCGGGGUAACGGCCCACCAAAGCGAUGAUCAGUAGCCGAGCUGAGAGGCACAACGGCCACAUUGGGACUGAGACACGGCCCAGACUCCUACGGGAGGCAGCAGUCGGGAAUAUUGCACAAUGGAGGAAACUCUGAUGCCAGUGACGCCGCGUAUAGGAUGAAGGUCCUUGGAUUGUAAACUAUUGUCGACAGGGAAGAAAAAAUGACAGUACCUGUGGAGGAAGCUCCGGCUAACUACGUGCCAGCAGCCGC
Molecule: ribosomal RNA, 492 nt
Filed under: uncultured bacterium
Lineage: Bacteria
Description: bacterial SSU rRNA
Rfam family: Bacterial small subunit ribosomal RNA
Source: RNAcentral